Long non-coding RNA from Apodemus sylvaticus (European woodmouse), 750 nucleotides. RefSeq lists it as uncharacterized. The record is from RefSeq and is a predicted model, not a curated record. The transcript has 3 exons. NCBI's taxonomy places the organism in Eukaryota, Metazoa, Chordata, Mammalia, Rodentia, Muridae.
ACUUCCAGUUCCCUUCACCUCCUCCGCACCCCACGCCAGGCAGGACCAGAAAGGUGGACUUUCCGGGCAGGACACACAGCACAGCAGGUUUCUCUGUGUAGCCCUGGCUGUCCUGGAACUCACUCUGUAGACCAGGCUGGCCUCGAACUCAGAAAUCCGCCUGCCUCUGCCUCCCAGAGUGCUGGGAUCACAGGUGUGCGCCACCACCGGCCGGCAGUAAUUCUUUUUAUUAUUUUAAAUAUACGUGAGUGCGAAGCAAAUGCAGGGGCAUCGACCCCGACCCCCGGAGCUGGCAGCACAGGCCGCGUGCUCAUCACGGAGAGCUCCUGUAUAACUGACUAAUUGAUCCUGAGUAGCUGUGACAACAGGCCAGAGGUGCCACACCUAUUCCCCAUGCUUCCUCCGUCAACCCUUCCAGAACACCCCCACCCAUCCACCACCGGGUCACCCUGACUGUCCCCAAACAAGCCAAGCGCUGUCCCUUUUAUCCCCACUUACAAAACUCCUACUCAUCCUGCUCAGCCCCAGUUGUAAUGCCCCUCCUCCAGGAAGUCUUCCCUGAGUCUCCUGCUCAUCACCUAGUCACACGGGUUCCCGCGUCCCACGUCCGUGGAUGCCAGUGUGUCUGCCUCUAAGACACUGCCCACAGACAAACAUUUGUCAAAAACAUCUCUGGCUUCUUUGUUUGUUGGUUUUUGGUUUUGUUUUGGGUGCCUGGCUCCGAGUUUGUGUGACUGAUUUUUAUUUAAU